RNAcentral lists this transfer RNA (69 nucleotides) under Heterocephalus glaber (naked mole-rat). It matches the Rfam family "tRNA". Rfam says of the family: Transfer RNA (tRNA) molecules are approximately 80 nucleotides in length. Lineage: Eukaryota; Metazoa; Chordata; Mammalia; Rodentia; Bathyergidae. The record is from Rfam by way of RNAcentral.
GGGGGUGUGGCUCAGUGGUAGACCACUUGCCUAGCCUGCAAGGCCUGGGUUCAGUGCCCAGCACCACCA